AUUGAACGCUGGCGGAAUGCUUUACACAUGCAAGUCGAACGGCAGCACGGGGGCAGCCCUGGUGGCGAGUGGCGAACGGGUGAGUAAUACAUCGGAACGUGCCCGGUCGUGGGGGAUAACGUAGCGAAAGUGACGCUAAUACCGCAUACGAUCUGAGGAUGAAAGCGGGGGACCUUCGGGCCUCGCGCGAUCGGAGCGGCCGAUGUCAGAUUGGGUAGUUGGUGGGGUAAAGGCCUACCAAGCCGACGAUCUGUAGCUGGUCUGAGAGGACGACCAGCCACACUGGGACUGAGACACGGCCCAGACUCCUACGGGAGGCAGCAGUGGGGAAUUUUGGACAAUGGGCGCAAGCCUGAUCCAGCCAUUCCGCGUGCAGGACGAAGGCCUUCGGGUUGUAAACUGCUUUUGUACGGAAAGAAAAGGCUCUGGCUAAUACCUGGGGCUCAUGACGGUACCGUAAGAAUAAGCACCGGCUAACUACGUG
Molecule: ribosomal RNA, 484 nt
Filed under: uncultured bacterium
Lineage: Bacteria
Description: partial 16S ribosomal RNA
Rfam family: Bacterial small subunit ribosomal RNA
Source: RNAcentral